This 978-nucleotide small RNA is filed under the name Pongo abelii (Sumatran orangutan). Its description in RNAcentral is "retained intron". The record is from RNAcentral. Lineage: Eukaryota; Metazoa; Chordata; Mammalia; Primates; Hominidae.
AGGCUACUGAGUUAGCUUGGGUGGAUGGUGGCUAGCGAGGCUUUGACCACUUUGUUGAUGCUGCUGAUUUUUCUGUGAUUUUGGAAGAGUUUCUCCAAGCCUUCACAUAACCUUCUCUGAGCUCCUCUUGCACCUUGUCGGUUGUGUGUGACAUGCUUCUCAAUGGCAGAGCCUUGUGUCAUCAUCGUCUUGACAUGGGCUGUGAGGUUGGCGAUUUGAAGGAGCUGCAGACACUAGACAUUUCUACCAAUCGUUUGCUAACUUUACCCGAGAGGCUUCACAUGUGCCUUUCUCUGCAGUACCUCACUGUGGACCGAAAUCGUCUAUGGUAUGUGCCGCGCCAUCUCUGCCAGCUGCCCAGCCUCAAUGAGCUCUCCAUGGCUGGAAACCGUCUUGCGUUUUUGCCACUUGAUUUAGGUCGAUCUCGAGAACUACAAUAUGUAUACGUGGAUAACAACAUUCACCUGAAAGGCUUGCCGUCUUAUCUGUACAAUAAAGUCAUCGGGUGCAGUGGCUGUGGUGCUCCCAUUCAAGUUUCCGAGGUGAAGCUGCUUUCCUUUUCAUCAGGGCAGCGAACCGUGUUCCUCCCAGCUGAGGUGAAGGCCAUAGGGACGGAGCAUGAUCACGUCCUCCCUCUGCAGGAAUUGGCCAUGAGAAGUCUGUAUCGUACCUACCACAGCUUGCUGAAAGAUUUGAACUUUCUGUCUCCAAUCUCAUUACCCAGAAGUCUCCUGGAGCUGCUGCACUGCCCUCUGGGGCACUGUCAUCGGUGUAGUGAGCCUAUGUUUACCAUCGUCUACCCCAAGCUCUUUCCCUUGAGAGAGACGCCAAUGGCAGGGCUGCACCAGUGGUAAUCAUGCCUAAGUGGGCACCAGGGUUUACACCCAGGCAAGGGGUGCCGGGUGGGGAGGGGAGAGGCUGUGCAUGAAAGCAUUAAGUCAGUGGUUUUAAAGGAGCAUAACAUGCUUCCUGAGAAAC